GUAAAGAGAGCCCUAUUUAGGCUUUCUUUAUUGCAAGUUCUGUUUAAUUAAGAUUUUCUUAUCCCCUGCUAUGUUAAUAGCUUGCUAGACCCUGCAAGAGCCUCCUGUAUGUGAUUAAAGUUUAAUUUAGAGAUUGAGAUACAAUUAUUUAAGGUAAAUUACAUCUGUUUGAAAGUGAAACCAGUUUUUUUUUUCAUGCAGGCUCUGUCAAUCAUAGCCAGGGGAGGUGUGGCUAGG
Non-coding RNA from Pelobates cultripes (western spadefoot toad), 237 nucleotides. The record is from the annotation of a GenBank genome assembly. Lineage: Eukaryota; Metazoa; Chordata; Amphibia; Anura; Pelobatidae.